Molecule: ribosomal RNA, 292 nt
Filed under: uncultured bacterium
Lineage: Bacteria
Description: partial 16S ribosomal RNA
Rfam family: Bacterial small subunit ribosomal RNA
Source: RNAcentral
GUGUCAGCCGCCGCGGUAAUACGAAGGGGGCUAGCGUUGCUCGGAAUUACUGGGCGUAAAGGGCGCGUAGGCGGCGCUGCAAGUCAGGCGUGAAAUUCCUGGGCUUAACCUGGGGGCUGCGCUUGAGACUGUGGUGCUAGAGGUCAGAAGAGGGUCGUGGAAUUCCCAGUGUAGAGGUGAAAUUCGUAGAUAUUGGGAAGAACACCGGUGGCGAAGGCGGCGACCUGGUCUGAUACUGACGCUGAGGCGCGACAGCGUGGGGAGCAAACAGGAUUAGAUACCCCCGUAGUCC